Mus musculus (house mouse) is the source of this 1338-nucleotide long non-coding RNA. RefSeq annotates it as predicted gene, 53576. Lineage: Eukaryota; Metazoa; Chordata; Mammalia; Rodentia; Muridae. The transcript has 2 exons. The record is from RefSeq and is a predicted model, not a curated record.
GAAAUAGUAAAAGUAAGACUAAGAUCUGGAAAUGGUAGAAAAGUAGAUAAGAUUCUGUGGGCAAUCAUUGUAGAUUUUGAGAGCAAACAGCAUGUAGAAGGGAUCUACAGAAUUCUGGAUCAGUAGGAGAACCCUUGGUAUCAUGAGCAAGGCAGAUACACAAGUAAAAUACUUGAGUGGAAGAAACUCCUUCAUCCUAACUCUAGCCAUCUGAUCAUCCUCAGAAGCUAAGAGCAUGGACAGAGACGUACAGCAGGGUUUAUCAGUUUUUUGUACCAGGAAGAAAAAGUUAUUAAUCAUUGUGUUCUGGUUUGGUGUUGUGCUAAUUAUACUUUGUUUUAUUUUUAACUUAUUUUUAUUUACAUGUACUUGUAUGUUAAAGUAAGUUUAUGUGAGAACAAAUCCUCUGUCUCUUUCUAUGUCUUUCACUAACAACUCUCUGUCUCUGUCAUUUUCUGUCUCUUUGCCUGUCUCUGCCUACGCCCCCUCCCCUCUCUCUGUGUGUGUAGGGCAGAGGAUGGCAUCAAGUGUUUCCUAAUUGUUCUUCUAAUAUUCUGAGAUAGACUCACUGAGCCUGAAACUCACAGAAUGGAGCCAACUGUCUGGAUGGCAACUCUAUUCUUCCAAAAUUGCUGGUGAACAGUGACAGCUUGACAGCACUGCAAAAUAAAGGCCAGUGUAUUCAAGGGCAGUUGUGGUGGAGAAGGAGGUGGUGCUGGUGGUGGUGGUGACAGAGGAAGAGGAAGAGGAAGAGGAAGAGGAAGAGGAGGAAGAAGAAGAGGAAGAGAAGAAAGAGGAUUGUCAUCUGUGCAGAAAGAGAUUAUGAACUGGCUAAGAGAGCUCAGAACAACAUAUUUAAAGUUCUUGAAGUAUACAAAUUAUAGUUAAUGAUGUUAAUACCUAAUAUUUUUGUGAAUAUACUUACUUGGUAACAAAGUAUAUACACCAAAAAUAAUGAUAUCCUCUUGAAUGUUUUCUCUCUAUGUGAAAAUAUGAGACUUGGACAAGAAUUGUGGGAUUCAGGAAAACAGACUAAAUAGGAUUCUAAGGAAUUGAGGGGGAGGUGGAAACCUAGUGUGAAAGGUUGGAGCAUGAUUUAUAUCUAAAGUAGCAUAGGAAAAUUGGAUUCUAAGUGAACAUUCAUAUGUGUGAGAUACAGUUAACACUAAACACAUAUUUUAAAUGCACUAUGUUAAACAAGGAGGAAACAGCACUAAGUAUAACGAUUCUAACAUGAACUUGUCUCAUGAACUAGCAGUAUUAAUGAGAUUAAUGUUAAUACAAACCAGGCUAUGAUGAAGGCUUUCGUUGGGUCAUGACUAUUGCUGAUAACAUAUA